GCUGGGCACGGUGGUACACACCUGUAGUCCCAGCCACUCAGGAGGCUGAGGCAGGAAGAUGGCUCAAGUCCAGACACUCUAGACUAUCAUGCACUAUGCAGAUAGGAUGUCCACAGUAAGUUUGGCAUGAAUAUGACUGGCAAUCUCCAGGAAACAGGGGAACUGCCACUUUGCCUAAGGAAGGGGGAACUGGCCCAGGUCAGAAAUAGAGGAAGUCAAAACUCUCGUGUUAAUCAGUAGUAGGAGGAUAUCUGUGAAUAGCUACUGUACUCCAGCCUGGGCAACAUAGCAAGAUUCCUCCUGA
This is an unclassified non-coding RNA of Mesocricetus auratus (golden hamster), 304 nucleotides long. It matches the Rfam family "Metazoan signal recognition particle RNA". From Rfam's summary of the family: The signal recognition particle (SRP) is a universally conserved ribonucleoprotein. NCBI's taxonomy places the organism in Eukaryota, Metazoa, Chordata, Mammalia, Rodentia, Cricetidae. The record is from Ensembl.